CUGUGGCUGGGUGUUCUCGAACCUAUGGCUGAACUCAUCAUUCAUUAUCGCCAGUAUAAUGCACCGAACGGUGGUGCGGUCGUUGAGCCACUUCUGAUAAGUAUCUCAGACCGUCCCUCUUACGUUCGGGGCUAGCUCCUCAGGUGCCGGAUCCGUUACUACAUAAAGGAUCCGCUCAUGCUCAAGGAUGAUUUUUAAUUUUCGAUACCAGCUAUCGAAAUUAGGUCC
This 228-nucleotide long non-coding RNA is filed under the name Elaeis guineensis (African oil palm). RNAcentral describes it as "long non-coding RNA (EGUI_LNC072045)". The record is from RNAcentral. Lineage: Eukaryota; Viridiplantae; Streptophyta; Magnoliopsida; Arecales; Arecaceae.